UAACCUGCCCAAGAGAUCGGGAUAACACCUGGAAACAGAUGCUAAUACCGGAUAACAACAGAUGAUGCCUAUCAACUGUUUAAAAGAUGGUUCUGCUAUCACUCUUGGAUGGACCUGCGGUGCAUUAGCUAGUUGGUAGGGUAACGGCCUACCAAGGCGAUGAUGCAUAGCCGAGUUGAGAGACUGAUCGGCCACAUUGGGACCGAGACACGGCCCAAACUCCUACGGGAGGCAGCAGGG
Molecule: ribosomal RNA, 240 nt
Filed under: uncultured Lactobacillus sp.
Lineage: Bacteria; Bacillati; Bacillota; Bacilli; Lactobacillales; Lactobacillaceae
Description: partial 16S ribosomal RNA
Rfam family: Bacterial small subunit ribosomal RNA
Source: RNAcentral